Long non-coding RNA from Quercus lobata, 1014 nucleotides. RefSeq lists it as uncharacterized. Lineage: Eukaryota; Viridiplantae; Streptophyta; Magnoliopsida; Fagales; Fagaceae. The transcript is spliced from 3 exons. The record is from RefSeq and is a predicted model, not a curated record.
AAUAACUAAAUAUGGUUAAAAACUCUGCAGAACAAUGCAAACAAGGUAGCAAGGAAGAAGAAAAAAAAAAUAGACACAAGUGACAAGAUUGCCUCAGAAUCACAAGAAGGCCUGUUUGGAGUUCCAACAAGAUAAUAAUUCUUAUUGUCACUUGAUUGCAACCACUAAAAUUUCUAAAUUAUCCAUGUCUUGCUUAGAUGAUAAAUGGCCAUACCAUCUGCUAUAGUUUCUUUCUUUUUCCUUUUUCUUUUUUCUUUUUGCUGCUGAUGUUUAGGAAAAUUUAUUUGCAAUUUGAAUAUGCAGAAACAGUUUAACGCAAAAUGAAAACAGUUAGAAGGAAGCCAGCAGGAAACAGGGAAGAUUGCUAAAAAUUGCUCACAUCCUGGAGUUUAGAGGGAAUGAAGCUACCCAUCAGGUAAUUUCAGCUUCACAGAAAAAUCUUACGCUCAAAUAUGCUGGAGCUUCCGCUAUGGAUUUUGAACUCAAAAAAAAAAAAAAACAAUCCAUAACUGAUGAACAUUCUGUUCUAAUGAAGCUGUAUAAACAUUGGUGGAUGCUACAAAUGGCUGGGAGUUCCUUGAUAUGCAUUCAAGUGCAAGAUAUGCACAUUAUGUUGCAAACAUUGGUCCUUCCAAGAGUCUUCUCUAAGAGGUUUCAUCAUGGGUUGUGAAUUUAAGAAACAAGAGGGUUGCAUCGUCAUUUCAGUUUUGCUUGAAGACCUUUGAUGAUUUAAUCUGUUUCAAAAUUGCUGUGGAAGAAGAGGUUCAUGAUGUUGAUGAGGCAAGCUUGUGGCGUAGGAGAAUUGGGCGAAAGAUGGGAUUUGAAGAAAGGACAGCCCUCAGCCAUGUCGAUGUUAACAAGGCUUGUGGUUUGAAUGGGCCAUGACACUUAAUUAUGUUACUACUUGGGCAUUUGCUAUUUCAGCUGAGGUUAUUAAACUCUUGUUUGAUGCUUCUGCACUUCAUUUUGUCACGUUGCAAACUGUUGACUAUUUACACUAUUUUCAUUUUAUUC